AUUAUUAUUAUUUAGUAUUAUUAUUAUUAUUUUUAUUGUUAUUAUUAUUCAGAGAGUGAGAAAAGUCUUCAACAUCUUGUGAAACAGUUCAGAGGAAUAGGACUGAGUAUGAAUACAGGGGAAAGAAAGUAUUGAACAAAAAAUAUCUAUAACAAAAAGUUAUUUCUUAUCUUUUGAAAAUAGAUAUGUAAGAAGCUCUUCUUGUUCGUAUACAGUAUCAGAAAUGGUACUUACAAGAACUUGAGGAGGCAUUUCCUUCAAAAUGGAAUAAAACCUAGGGUUCAUGGGAACACUGGUCGCAUUCCUUGUCAUGCUGUUUCUGUGGAAGGCAUUAAAGAUGUGGUAGCAUUUUUGGAGAACUAUGCUGAAGACUACACCAUAUUACUACCUGGGAGGAUACCUGGAGCGAGGGAUUAUGGGAAGGCCAAGCUAUUGCCGUCCAGUGUGUCCCGACACAAGGUUUACCGGCAGUAUGCUGAUGCUGGUAGGGAACAUACUCUCUGUGAAAAAUUAAUUUGUUUAAAGGUCCUACUUGUGCAAAUAGAGUAUCGAAGAGUAAAAGUAAAAGCGAAUUUUCUAUCUCAGGAUUUAAAUAAAGAAGUUGCCUUUUCUGUUAAUGUACAGUGAACAUCUCAUAAUCAAGAAACAGUUUGUUCCAUGGACAUUGCCGUAUUCUUUAAAAGAUUGUGUUAAUGGUUGCUGAUUAUCCUGAAAUGAACGACAGAACUUACAUGGUAGUAAAUUCAUGACAUGUAC
This 756-nucleotide long non-coding RNA is filed under the name Amphimedon queenslandica. RNAcentral's name for it is "uncharacterized LOC109588376, transcript variant X1". The record is from RNAcentral. Lineage: Eukaryota; Metazoa; Porifera; Demospongiae; Haplosclerida; Niphatidae.